AUGUAUGCGGUGAGCGUUUACGUGACCCGGAGAGUGAAGGAGGUGAAAAGCCAAUUAAUGGAGGGCGACAUUGCUGAAAUUGAUCACCAAACAGUAAAUUCUGCACGUUCUGCGCCCUACUUUUAUGGAUUACAUACUCAUCAAUGUGCCGGCCCAAGGCGGACUCAGAACGUGACAGAUCUCCGCGAUGCGGCUCCAGGCAGCACCCUGUGUUCAAAAAUCAUGAUGAAAUCAUGGCCUAAAAUGGAUUGGAGGAAGUUAGCUGAGAAUGUCUGGCAAACGGCACUACUCAUGAGAAGGAGCUAUCAUCCAUUUGAUUUGGACAGUGUUGAACCAUUGCCGGUGGACCAUCACCCUGAACUUGAAAUGUUCGGAGCAGACAUUGCUGAAAUGAUGCGUGACGACGUUCUGGAUGAGCUUGUGGCCGAACUCGUGUGUCAUAUCAACUGA
This 450-nucleotide ribosomal RNA is filed under the name Triticum aestivum (bread wheat). RNAcentral's name for it is "partial small subunit ribosomal RNA". Lineage: Eukaryota; Viridiplantae; Streptophyta; Magnoliopsida; Poales; Poaceae. The record is from RNAcentral.